This 496-nucleotide ribosomal RNA is filed under the name uncultured bacterium. Its description in RNAcentral is "partial 16S ribosomal RNA". It matches the Rfam family "Bacterial small subunit ribosomal RNA", at positions 28 to 506 of the family's 1533-position model. The record is from RNAcentral.
GAUGAACGCUGGCGGCGUGCCUAAUACAUGCAAGUCGAGCGAACAGACGAGGAGCUUGCUCCUCUGACGUUAGCGGCGGACGGGUGAGUAACACGUGGAUAACCUACCUAUAAGACUGGGAUAACUUCGGGAAACCGGAUCUAAUACCGGAUAAUAUAUUGAACCGCAUGGUUCAAUAGUGAAAGACGGUUUUGCUGUCACUUAUAGAUGGAUCCGCGCCGCAUUAGCUAGUUGGUAAGGUAACGGCUUACCAAGGCAACGAUGCGUAGCCGACCUGAGAGUGUGAUCGGCCACACUGGAACUGAGACACGGUCCAGACUCCUACGGGAGGCAGCAGUAGGGAAUCUUCCGCAAUGGGCGAAAGCCUGACGGAGCAACGCCGCGUGAGUGAUGAAGGUCUUCGGAUCGUAAAACUCUGUUAUUAGGGAAGAACAAAUGUGUAAGUAACUAUGCACGUCUUGACGGUACCUAAUCAGAAAGCCACGGCUAACUACGU